RNAcentral lists this ribosomal RNA (492 nucleotides) under uncultured bacterium. Its description in RNAcentral is "partial 16S ribosomal RNA". It matches the Rfam family "Bacterial small subunit ribosomal RNA", at positions 29 to 507 of the family's 1533-position model. The record is from RNAcentral.
AGUGAACGCUGGCGGUAGGCCUAACACAUGCAAGUCGAACGGCAGCACAGUAAGAGCUUGCUCUUACGGGUGGCGAGUGGCGGACGGGUGAGGAAUACAUCGGAAUCUACUUUUUCGUGGGGGAUAACGUAGGAAAACUUACGCUAAUACCGCAUACGACCUACGGGUGAAAGCAGGGGAUCUUCGGACCUUGCGCGAUUGAAUGAGCCGAUGUCGGAUUAGCUAGUUGGCGGGGUAAAGGCCCACCAAGGCGACGAUCCGUAGCUGGUCUGAGAGGAUGAUCAGCCACACUGGAACUGAGACACGGUCCAGACUCCUACGGGAGGCAGCAGUGGGGAAUAUUGGACAAUGGGCGCAAGCCUGAUCCAGCCAUACCGCGUGGGUGAAGAAGGCCUUCGGGUUGUAAAGCCCUUUUGUUGGGAAAGAAAAGCAGCAGGUUAAUACCCCGCUGUUCUGACGGUACCCAAAGAAUAAGCACCGGUUAACUUCGUG